Molecule: ribosomal RNA, 253 nt
Filed under: uncultured bacterium
Lineage: Bacteria
Also listed under: 1 other name
Description: partial 16S ribosomal RNA
Rfam family: Bacterial small subunit ribosomal RNA
Source: RNAcentral
UACGUAGGGUGCUAGCGUUGUUCGGAAUCAUUGGGCGUAAAGCGCGUGUAGGCGGUCAAAUAAGUCUGGUGUGAAAGCCCUGGGCUCAACCGAGGAAGUGCAUCAGAAACUAUUUGACUAGAAGACGGUAGAGGAAGGUGGAAUUCCAAGUGUAGAGGUGAAAUUCGUAGAUAUUUGGAGGAAUACCGGUGGCGAAGGCGGCCUUCUGGGCCGAUCUUGACGCUGAGACGCGAAAGCGUGGGGAGCAAACAGG